GCCUGGGUGUGGGAGCCUCCCUGCGGCAACACCGUGGGGCUGGGAGAGGAGAGGGGCUCUACGGGAGCCCUGGAAGCAAACAGCUUCACCCCUUCAGGGCUCUGCUGUUUAAGCAAGCCGAGAACUACAGCUCCAAAUCCCAGACAAACGUGUCAGCACCAUCUGUGACAGAACACUGUGUCCCGAGUGCCUCCUGUAUCCUAGAUGCUGGUCACAAACUUUCAUUUAAUUCUCACAAUAGGCCAGGGAGGUCCACAACACUAUUUGCGUUUUGCAGCUGAGGACAGUGAAGCUUGAAGACAUUUAAGGUGACACAGACGCUCACGUUAGAGCUGUGACUGCCCCUCCACCUCUCCCAGUGGAACCAGCCACCUGGCUGGUGGCCUCUGAAGUCCCCUGCAGCUUGUCCACCUGCAGACUCCUCCCUACAGUUUUUUUGUGAGCCGACAGGUGUGAGAUGAAGUCUUACAAUGACAGGUGACAGACACUCACCUGCUGGGAUCAGAAGGAGCCACCACAGGCUGAGCUUCGUGAAGGACAAAAGAGCAGGACAGGAGGGGCCCAUGGCUUCCCCUGAGCAUCAGGAGUUCAGAUCAGGGCUUUGCUGUGGUUGCUCCUUGGACCGUGUCCCCAGCAGAGUUGCAGCUGGAUUCUGCGAGGCUUCCUGUCACCACCAAACCUGAGCAAGCCCAGGAAAGGGCCCUUAGGAACAUGUACUCUUGACAUAGACAUACUUCUAUUUCUCACACUUUACACAGGCAUGAAAAGUGAGCAAAAGGCCCUCAGCAGGCCUCUCAGCAGUUAAGUGCGCCUGGGCUCUCCCUGGUUUAUUGGGGAAUCAGCCUCUUCCUCUUUCUCCAGCGUCAGCUAGGGACUCUGCCCUAAGACCAGCCCUGACAUGCUGGACAGAAGAGGGCGCAGGAUCACACCAAGGUCCCCAUUGCUUUGCCUCAGUGCUCCUUUGUAAAAUGUGGGUAAUCAUACUGCAAAGAGUGGUUAAUAAAAGAAUCAUGGUAGUAUUCAGUACUAUUCACAAGAUUCAAAGGGUGGAAACAGCCUUUUGUCCAAACAAAUGUCCAUCAGCUGAUGAAUGGAUGGACAAAAGGCAGUAAAUCCUUACAAGAGAACACGAUUCCACCAUAAAAAGGACUGAGGCACUGCCGCAUGCUACAGGGUGGAGGAACCUCAAAAGCAUUGUGCAAAGUACUAGAGGCCAGUCGCAAAAAGCCACACACUGAAGGUGAUACUGUAAAAUAUCUAUUUGGUCUUCAAUCCUGUUUCCUGGAAUACAACUCCUAAGAUAGUUGGAAUCUCCAAAACGAUGUCCUUUUGCGUGACUGGUGGCUGGCAGCCCCUGCAUAGCAGCAGGAUGGGGCUGGUCACAGGGAGACCAAGGCAGGAUUUAAAGGGUUGGGACUUUCAGCCCCACUCCUCAAACCUCCAGGGACAGAAGAGGAGCUGAAGGUUAAAUUGAUCACCAAUAGCCACUGGAUUAAUCAGUCAUGCUGCAUAAUGAAGCCUUCAUAAAAACCCAAAAGGACAGGUUUUGAAGAGCUUCUAAAUGGCAGAAAAUUGGAGGUUCCUGAGGGGUGACGAGCCUGGGGAGGGUUUGGAAUCUCCAUACGCCUUCCCAUACCUUACCGUAUGCAUCUCAUCACCUGUAACUUACACUCUCUUUUAUAUGCCAGUGUUUCCCUGAGCGCUGUGACCCACUCUAGCAAGUUAGUUGAACCCAGAGAGGGGAUCAUGAGAACCUCAAUGUAUAACCAGUGGGUUAGAAGCACCGGUAAAACAACCUGGGACUUGUGAUCGGCAUUGAAAUUGGGGGGCAAUGUUAGGGACUGAGCCCUCAGCCUGUGGGAUCCGAGCUGUCUCCAGGUGGAUGGUGUCUGAAUUGAAUUAGAAGGCACUCAGCUGGUCUCUGCUGCAGAAUUGACUGCUGACGUGCAGGUGGGAGAAAUCCCCACAUCUUUGGGGGUCACAGAAGUCUUCCAUGUCGAUUGUUAUGGAGUGAGAGCAGAGGAAAACAGUUUGCGGUUUUUUUUUACACAGUGUAUGAUCCCACUGAUACGGGAUAUGCAGAAUAGGUAAAUCUAUAGAGACAGAACAUAGAUCAGUGGUUGCAGGGGCAGCGGGAAGGAGGGAUGGGAAGUGACUGCUUAAUGAUCACUGGGUUUCCCUCAGCAGGGAUAAGAAAGCUCUGGAGCUACAUGAUGUGAUGCUGCACAGAUGUGGGGAUAUACAAUAUUCAGCAAAUGGCACGCUUUAAACGGGUGCAUUUUAUGGUAUUUGAAUUAUAUCUCAAGAAAAGCUAUUAUCAAAAA
Sapajus apella (tufted capuchin) is the source of this 2324-nucleotide long non-coding RNA. RefSeq lists it as uncharacterized. The transcript is spliced from 2 exons. The record is from RefSeq and is a predicted model, not a curated record. NCBI's taxonomy places the organism in Eukaryota, Metazoa, Chordata, Mammalia, Primates, Cebidae.